UACGGGGGGAGCAAGCGUUGUUCGGAUUUACUGGGCGUAAAGGGCGCGUAGGCGGACUUGUAAGUCGGGAGUGAAAACUCGGGGCUCAACCCCGAGCCUGCUUCCGAAACUGCGAGUCUUGAGGACCGGAGAGGAGAGUGGAAUUCCUAGUGUAGCGGUGGAAUGCGUAGAUAUUAGGAAGAACACCAGUGGCGAAGGCGACUUUCUGGACGGUUCCUGACGCCGAGGCGCGAAAGCUAGGGGAGCAAACAGG
RNAcentral lists this ribosomal RNA (253 nucleotides) under uncultured prokaryote. RNAcentral's name for it is "partial 16S ribosomal RNA". It matches the Rfam family "Bacterial small subunit ribosomal RNA", at positions 524 to 776 of the family's 1533-position model. The record is from RNAcentral.